AGGUGUUCAUCAAAUCAAUCACUAAGAUAAGGAGAUACAGUAGCUAUUCGUUUCUUAUUCACAGUAAAAAAAAAAGGUCAUCUAUGAGCAUAAAGUUGGGUUUUGAUUUAAAUUUUGAUGAAGUUUUUGGUUAGAUAUUCUGUGGUUGAUUCGGUGAAUGUUUGAGAUGAGUUUCGUGAGACUAACGAGUAAUAUGAGUUAUUGGGUUUCGAUCCAAUUCGAUUUGGAUGGAGUCAAUGGGUUAGUGGCAUUGAUCUUGGAUGUCAAAUAAGGUUUGCAAUAAAGAGGGUUUUUCAUUAACAGCAAAACCAUCAGGUUGCAAAUAAGGUGUUUGACAAAAUGACUGAACAACCAGUUUAGUUUCAUCAUGUUUGCAAUGGGUUUGGAUUGUCUUGCGAAGCAGCAAAUCCGCUACCUCUGUUAAUAUUAUUCUUUCUCUCUAUUUUGUGGGCAAGUUACAAUGGGGGCUUUAUAAUUUUGUUUGUAUUCAUUCUACUUUGAAACUGAUUAGAUUUUUAGUGUUAUGAAGUAGAAGAUUUUUUACUAUAGAUUUGUUUGAUUUUUUGUGUGUUUCAUAUAAAGUACACAAUAAUGCAUUAUCCUUUUAAUUACCAUGUACGAAUAGUUAAAAACAUAAUCACUUAUUCUUAUUCUUAGUGCAAAUUUGGCGCAUUGUCUUAUGCUUAGUGCAGAAUUUUAAUUAUUAUCAUAAGUUUAAUUUUCACUUCCAGUCACGAUGAUGACGGCUCGGAAAGCAUCGAAAGAUUAGAUGUUGCAGCUGAUGAAGUACUCGGAGAUGAAAAUGGGAUUGAUUCAGAACUGUUGUAUAAAAAACUACCUUUCCAGGUUAAAUGCCUCAUGUGAAUGUCUAGUAAUUUUAAUGCGACAUGUAAAGGAAGAUUAUCUAGGUCCCAUUUUUGCUAUCUCGAUUGGGACGGCAGAUCGAUGAAUUCUACUUGCUUAAAAUUUUCAGGGACGGUGAUCUUCCUCUUAUUACACUUUCAAGUUACUCGAUUUUCAACUAAGAUGUAUUUACGACAACAGCCAGCCAUCUUCUUUACAACUGAAAUGGGUAUAAGUUUUUUACAAAGGCUGGAGGAUUGGGCAAAGCUGACAUCAAGGACAACUUGGAGCUUGCUGCCAGCAUAUUCUGUCUAUUGGGCUUCUAAGGUAGUAGGUAGUUGCGAAAAAAGGCAGCUUGACCAGUGUACCGGUGCAGAUACGGCAGGGAAAAUAUCUCAUUGCUGGAAGCAGUGUUUGAAUUCCUUCUCAUUUUUGGAUUCACUGUGUUAGUGAUCUUGAUGGUGUAGCAUGUAAAGUAUCUCGAACCUCAUAGAAGAUUGCCUUCUAAAGCUGUGUGCGCAAGGAUUACAAAUUAACGAAUCUCGCUUGGAGGGUACACAUGAAAAGGCGCUGAUGGUGGCAGUGGCAGAGGCAGAGGCAGAGGCAGAGGCGGUGAAAAGAAGAAGAAUCAUUCAAAAAAAAAGGUGGUGUCACUGGUGGAGGCGGUGAAAAACUGGUCUCGGUUUAGCUAAUAAGAAAGAUGUUUUUGUGGCUAGAUGCAGACAUUGCAGGAGGUGUGUUCGAAUCAUCUCGGAACCAGAACAAAAUGGGUUUUGAGAGUGGUAUAGCUGCUCUAGAUGCUGGUGAUUUUGCAUGGGAAACAACUCUAUAUACCUGAUUCUAUUGCAGACCAGUUCUGUUAGAGAAAAAACUAUAACCACACCAGAUUAUAUUACAUCUAUAUAACAAGUACAGUUGAAUGAGUUAGAUCACCUAAUUUUGUUGUAUGUAUGUGUUGGAGGCAGUAUUAUCAUUUUGCCAUCUGAGGCUGUUUUGUGUGGACCAAAUUAUGUAUAUGUUGGAGAGGAAAA
Molecule: long non-coding RNA, 1874 nt
Organism: Papaver somniferum (opium poppy)
Lineage: Eukaryota; Viridiplantae; Streptophyta; Magnoliopsida; Ranunculales; Papaveraceae
Exons: 6
Source: RefSeq, a predicted model, not a curated record